GACGAACGCUGGCGGCGUGCUUAACACAUGCAAGUCGAACGGAAAGGCCCUGCUUUUGUGGGGUGCUCGAGUGGCGAACGGGUGAGUAACACGUGAGUAACCUGCCCUUGACUUUGGGAUAACUUCAGGAAACUGGGGCUAAUACCGGAUAGGAGCUCCUGCUGCAUGGUGGGGGUUGGAAAGUUUCGGCGGUUGGGGAUGGACUCGCGGCUUAUCAGCUUGUUGGUGGGGUAGUGGCUUACCAAGGCUUUGACGGGUAGCCGGCCUGAGAGGGUGACCGGCCACAUUGGGACUGAGAUACGGCCCAGACUCCUACGGGAGGAAGCAGUGGGGAAUAUUGCACAAUGGGCGGAAGCCUGAUGCAGCAACGCAGCGUGCGGGAUGACGGACUUCGGGUUGUAAACCGCUUUCGCCUGUGACGAAGCGUGAGUGACGGUAAUGGGUAAAGAAGCACCGGCUAACUACGUG
Molecule: ribosomal RNA, 468 nt
Filed under: uncultured bacterium
Lineage: Bacteria
Description: partial 16S ribosomal RNA
Rfam family: Bacterial small subunit ribosomal RNA
Source: RNAcentral